AGGGAAUUUUCGGCAAUGGGGGAAACCCUGACCGAGCAACGCCGCGUGAAGGAAGAAGUAAUUCGUUAUGUAAACUUCUGUCAUAGAGGAAGAACGGUGGAUAUAGGGAAUGAUAUCCAAGUGACGGUACUCUAUAAGAAAGCCACGGCUAACUACGUGCCAGCAGCCGCGGUAAUACGUAGGUGGCGAGCGUUAUCCGGAAUUAUUGGGCGUAAAGAGGGAGCAGGCGGCACUAAGGGUCUGUGGUGAAAGAUCGAAGCUUAACUUCGGUAAGCCAUGGAAACCGUAGAGCUAGAGUGUGUGAGAGGAUCGUGGAAUUCCAUGUGUAGCGGUGAAAUGCGUAGAUAUAUGGAGGAACACCAGUGGCGAAGGCGACGAUCUGGCGCAUAACUGACGCUCAGUCCCGAAAGCGUGGGGAGCAAAU
RNAcentral lists this ribosomal RNA (424 nucleotides) under uncultured bacterium. Its description in RNAcentral is "bacterial SSU rRNA". It matches the Rfam family "Bacterial small subunit ribosomal RNA", at positions 356 to 773 of the family's 1533-position model. The record is from RNAcentral.